RNAcentral lists this small RNA (29 nucleotides) under Bombyx mori (domestic silkworm). RNAcentral's name for it is "ovarian small RNA-3129". Lineage: Eukaryota; Metazoa; Arthropoda; Insecta; Lepidoptera; Bombycidae. The record is from RNAcentral.
UAUCCAGAGUGAUGCGGAUUUGGUCGGAC